This 239-nucleotide long non-coding RNA is filed under the name Brassica napus (rape). RNAcentral describes it as "long non-coding RNA (BNAP_LNC014999)". The record is from RNAcentral. Lineage: Eukaryota; Viridiplantae; Streptophyta; Magnoliopsida; Brassicales; Brassicaceae.
UGAGCGUCGAUCGAUGUUGAAACUUAGUUAUCGAUCGAUGGCGACUUCCUUUUCCAAGAGGAAUGACGUAGAACUCUAUCUUCCUCGUCAAGGGUUGCUCUUUGCUCUAUAGCUCGUUGUUCCUCGUAAUCUUCAUCAUACGCUUCUGUAUGCAUGGUGUUUGUUGCCAUAAGGGCAUGUAGUAGUCAUUUUCCCAAUCAUCUGGACAACUGUCGACCGAUUCUUCCUUCGGGGUGUCC